Long non-coding RNA from Pyrus x bretschneideri (Chinese white pear), 1179 nucleotides. RefSeq lists it as uncharacterized. The transcript is spliced from 3 exons. The record is from RefSeq and is a predicted model, not a curated record. NCBI's taxonomy places the organism in Eukaryota, Viridiplantae, Streptophyta, Magnoliopsida, Rosales, Rosaceae.
AUCCUCAAAAACACAUGACCCUGAUUCCUUCGCAACUCUACUAGAUCCCCACCGCAAGCUGUUGUGUUUUCCCGCCGUCGUUCUUACUCGUCGUUGGUUCGCCUUGCUGUUGACCCAACAAUUUCUCACGCCGUUGCAUGUUUGCGCACCUCGAAGAAGGGUGCAGCCGUUUCUAGAAAAAGAAGCCUUCAAGCCAUCAGAGGCGAUGGGUUAGGAAAAACAGAAGAUUGAAGUUAGUGAAGCAUCCUCAUAUUGAAUGUCACUGAGGGAAGACAAUGAAGUGGAAAUGGUAUUAAAGAAGGGUCUCUCUACAAUGCUUAUGAAGGAACUUUCAAUGGUGUUGAUGAAGUGACUCUCAAUGUUGCUGAUGAAGGUGAUAUUAAUGGUGGUGAUGAAAGUGAUAAUGGUACUGCUAAGUCCACUACAGAAGGAGCUGAUGUUGGAAUUGAAGGUGCAGAAGAUGCGGUUGCUGAAUGUAAUGCAGAAGAAGACAGUACUGAUAAUGAAUUUGUGGAUAGUGACUACGUUAUGAAGAUGAUGAUCGUGAUGUAAUAGAUGAAACAAGUGUAGAUACACUGAUUGGAGAAGAUCAUUGAGGUGAAGGGUUUGGUAAUGGUGGAGAUGGUGACAACUAAAAUACUGAUGAAGUUAUUAAUGCAAGGGAUCUAAAAGAUGUUCCCCUUGAUGAUGGAAAAAAAGACUUAGAUGGCCUGCACAGUGUUGAUGAAUUAGGUUAUGAGGUUGAUGAAAGGGUCAUAUACCUGAGUUCAAUGAAGAAGCUAACAUGGAUGAUCCAAAAUUUGAAAAAGGGCUGAAGUUCAGAGAUGCUUCGCAGUUGAGAGAGGUACUAUGGUCACACUCCAAUUAGCAUGGUGCUCUUUCAAUUAGGCUGAAAAUGAAUAAGAAGUGGAAGAUAAGUGCAAAGUGUGCAACAAACUGCAGGUGGAAAUUGUAUGCUUUCAGGAUAGGGAUGACAAUUAUAACCGUUAAACUCGAUAACCAUGGAUAACCGUCAAAAUAGAUUGGAUUUGGAGUGUGAAAAUUGGGGUAUAUUUUGAAUAUGAAGAAAAACCAUGAAUAUUAUUCGGUUAUGAUUUUGGAUAUGGUUAUAGAGGUACCUAAUCCGUAUUCGUCCUCAAAUCUGAAUUGAACAAUAUAUAAUAUAAUUAUAUACAAUAA